Apis cerana (Asiatic honeybee) is the source of this 697-nucleotide long non-coding RNA. RefSeq lists it as uncharacterized. Lineage: Eukaryota; Metazoa; Arthropoda; Insecta; Hymenoptera; Apidae. The record is from RefSeq and is a predicted model, not a curated record.
AAUUGCGAUGAUGUAAGCUUAUUCGGAUGCACGCGUGAAAUUUUCCUUGUUCGAGCUGAGCAACAGCUUGCUUGUUUUUUUUGUGAUUUCGAAAUUUGGAAUUUUUAACCGAAUUUCGCCCACACAACGCAAAACGAAUGAACAUGAAAUCGAACAUGUGUACGUGCGUACGUAAGAAUUUAUUACAUUCAUAUAGCAAUGUAAUAGUUAAUGAUGACAAGGAUUAUUAUAGAAAUAAAACAGCAGAAUAUUCAGACGAUAAAACCUGGUAAUUGUUUCUCAGAAAGUGCAAAGUCUAACACGAGUUAGUAAACUACUAGCAUAGGAAUAUAAGUACUUGUAAUGCAAUUACGAUGAUGUAACGUAUAUUAUCUUAUCGGGAAAUUUUAUUUGUCAUAAAAUAAACGUUUGUCGCAAAGCUUCGUUUCAUGAUUUCGUUUCAAAUUUAAACAAAGAAUUUAAUUAAUUAAAUAAAUAUUAAGUCAUAUUUUCUAUUAUGAUUAUUAUAUUAUUAUUCCAUUUUUUUAUCCAUUGUUAUUUAACAAAUAUACUUAGUAUUAAAUAUUUAUAAUUUUGAAAAUUAUAUGUUUUAAAACAUUGCAUUGAAAAAUGUAAGUGUAUUUUUCAGUGAAUAACAAGCGAUAAUUAUAACGUGUAUGUGCACUAAUCCUAAAUAAACGGAUAUGACGUCAUGGCA